UGGGGAAUUUUGGACAAUGGGCGCAAGCCUGAUCCAGCCAUGCCGCGUGAGUGAAGAAGGCCUUCGGGUUGGUUAAAGACUCUUUUCUAGACGGAAAGAAAUCUCCUGGGCGAAUACCCUGGGAGGAUGACGGUACCGUAAGAAGAAGCACCGGCUAACUACGUGCC
Molecule: ribosomal RNA, 167 nt
Filed under: uncultured bacterium
Lineage: Bacteria
Description: partial 16S ribosomal RNA
Rfam family: Bacterial small subunit ribosomal RNA
Source: RNAcentral